GGGCCCGAACCAGUUUCGACGGGUGUGGUGGAAUCGGCGUAGCGUGCCCAGGUGCUGAGCUCCUGGUAAAACACUCGGCAAACUUUCAAUCGCCAACAACAACUUGGCUCUAGCCGCGUAACUUAGGUUACUCCGGCAGUGCUCAUGAGGCAGCCCGUCCGGGGCGGCGCAUGAGUAUCGAAAAUCCGGGCUGGCUCCGCGGCGCGUUUCCGGUCGUUGGAGUGAGACUUUAGGAAACUUGUCCAGACGUGGGAGGCCUACCGGCCAGCGUCUGGAGACCUUAAUCGGUAGGCUACGCACGUAGGCGCGUCGGUAGAUCUAUGCUCGGACGCCGGGGCAGUGCCGGCCGGGUCCACUU
Molecule: transfer-messenger RNA, 358 nt
Filed under: Gemmatimonadaceae bacterium
Lineage: Bacteria; Pseudomonadati; Gemmatimonadota; Gemmatimonadia; Gemmatimonadales; Gemmatimonadaceae
Also listed under: 1 other name
Rfam family: transfer-messenger RNA
About the family: Bacterial tmRNA, also known as 10Sa RNA or SsrA, is named for its dual tRNA and mRNA-like properties.
Source: RNAcentral